GUGUUGGUCUGGGCAGCACAUAUACUAAAAUUGGAAUGAUACAGAGAAGAUUAGCAUGGCCCCUGUGCAAGGAUGACAUGCAAAUUCUUGACACAUUCCAUAUUUUU
Pongo abelii (Sumatran orangutan) is the source of this 107-nucleotide small nuclear RNA. NCBI's taxonomy places the organism in Eukaryota, Metazoa, Chordata, Mammalia, Primates, Hominidae. The record is from Ensembl.